Molecule: RNA transcript, 2881 nt
Organism: Anguilla anguilla (European eel)
Lineage: Eukaryota; Metazoa; Chordata; Actinopteri; Anguilliformes; Anguillidae
Gene: gja3
Gene name: gap junction protein, alpha 3
Exons: 4
Source: RefSeq, a predicted model, not a curated record
UCGGUGGCAGCCGGAUAUUGCUUUCAGUAGCUAAGUUUGGCACCCCCUGGCCAAGGUAUGGUGAAGACUUGGUGCAUGUGAACAUCUUUAUUGGCGCGGUAGCCUACAUCCUGGACAGUGUACUAAAUAUAUAUUUGAGCCCUAGUCGAUGGAUUUAUUACCCACAAUACAACAUUUUAACUGUACUUUCUCCUCAGGAUAGAAAUCGUAAAGGAUGGGCGACUGGAGCUUUCUGGGGCGGCUGUUGGAGAACGCGCAGGAACACUCGACGGUGAUCGGCAAGGUGUGGCUGACGGUCCUCUUCAUCUUCAGGAUCCUGGUGCUGGGGGCGGCGGCGGAGGAGGUGUGGGGCGACGAGCAGUCCGACUUCACCUGCAACACGCAGCAGCCCGGCUGCGAGAACGUCUGCUACGACGAGGCCUUCCCCAUCUCGCACAUCCGCUUCUGGGUGCUGCAGAUUAUCUUUGUGUCCACGCCCACCCUCAUCUACCUGGGCCACGUGCUGCACAUCGUCCGCAUGGAGGAGAAGCGCAAGGAGAAGGAGGAGGAGCUGCGCAAGGCCAGCAGGCUCCAGGAGGAGAAGGAGCUCCUCUUUAAGAACGGAGCGGGCGGAGGAGGCGGCGGUAAGAAGGAGAAGCCGCCGAUCAGGGACGAGCACGGGAAAAUCCGCAUCAGGGGGGCGCUGCUGCGCACCUACGUGUUCAACAUCAUUUUUAAGACCCUGUUUGAAGUGGGCUUCAUCUUAGGCCAGUACUUCCUGUACGGCUUUCAGCUGCGGCCGCUGUACAAGUGCGCGCGGUGGCCCUGCCCCAACACCGUAGACUGCUUCAUCUCCCGGCCCACAGAAAAGACCAUCUUCAUCAUAUUUAUGCUUGUGGUGGCUUGCGUGUCCCUUUUGCUGAAUUUGUUAGAGAUCUAUCACCUCGGAUGGAAGAAGGUCAAGCAGGGCAUGACCAACGAGUUUGCCCCCGGGCGCGGGUCGCCGCCCCGCACCGACGCUGAGCCGGAGUCCGCGACCCCCGCCCCGAGAACUGCCCCUCCAAACCUCAGCUACCCGCCGAACUACACGGACGUGACCGCGGGGGGCGCGUACCCCCUGCCGGCCGCCCCGGCGGCCGAGUUCAAGAUGGAUCCUCUGCAGGAGGACCUGCAGGAGGCGCCCUCCUCCUUCUACAUCAGCAACAACAACAACCACCGGCUGGCCUCCGAGCAGAACUGGGCCAACCAGGCUACCGAGCAGCAGACUCGGGAGAGGAAUCCAGGCUCCCCUUCCCCCUCCUCUUCCUCCUCCUCCUCGUCCUCAACCUCCAGCGUCCGAGAUGAGCUGCAGCAGCCGAAGGACGCCGCCUCCACCUCGAGCGGCGGGGGCUGGGGCGGAGGGAAGGGCCCGUUGGAAGAGGGUCACAUGACCACCAUGGUGGAGAUGCACGAGGCGCCCGCAGCGGUAAUGGCGGUAACGGCGGUCACGGACGCCCGGCGGCUCAGCAGGGCCAGCAAGAGCAGCAGCGUCAGAGCCCGGCCCAACGACCUGGCGGUUUAGCCCCGCUCCCACCCCGCCGCCCCCCGUUUUUAUAUUCAGUCGCGUAAAACCGCAGAUGAAAAGCAGCAGCGAGGCAGGGCACUGGAAUUGGGGAGCUCUCCAUAUAAAUCUGUGAACAGCAAAGUGAACUGCAGUGCAAUCGGAAAUGGAUCAGCUAACAGUUUGAGAAGACUACUUUUACUCAUUUUACCACUUGUUUUUUUGAAUGUAGGCGAAAUCUGUCAAUGUGAAACUACAACUCACUGAUUCACCAUCAGGUCUGCUAGCAUGUUUCUUGGUUUUAUCCACUGUCAGCCAAUCACUAAGCUUGCCACAGGGUGGUUGACCAAUGGCAAGGCAUCUGAUAGAGUUGAGGGAGGGGUCAAUCUUCAUUGGUGAAAGAAAUCAUACAUAUCGAUAGAAACUUUUUUUGAAAAAAACUAAUUUAAACAGGGUUUUUAUUUUGGAGUGUAAAACACAGGGGAGAUAAAUUGAAAACUAUGCUGGACUGUGGGUGGAAAUCAAGAACUGACAUGUGCCACUGCACUGUCCUGCUGUUUAUCAUUUUUAUAUGCAGAAAAUUCAGAUUCUGUUUUGUGCCACAAAUCUGAACACUGCCUCAAAACUACAGGUGCCAUGAUUCCAGGACCCGCUGCUACUCUUCACUACUGCUUUUAAAAGGAAAAUAUUAUUUAGCCAAAGAGAGAGAAUCAGUUUCUUGUAGAUCUCUUUGAAAAUAAAGCACAUGCAAGUCCAAAGUGCUGAAAGAAAGUGCAGUAUGAGAUCAUCAGGCUGUAGGGUCAGUGGGAGUGAAUUAGAAACACAGAUUACUAGACUGAAGAUGGAGUCUCCUUUGACUAAUUACAGCCCAAUUGUUCAUCUGCCAGAGUAAACGUACUUUCAGUCACUCAUUGCUGUGACAGACCUGUGGCAAACCUUACAUGAAAAACAAUAUCCAAGCCAAAUAAAACUGUGAAAACCCCUGCCAAAAAACUCUGUUAGAUCAGAAUAUACCUUUACGUAUGUUCAUAUGUUUUGCAGAUUUCUUGGGAGGUGUAUUAUUUUUUAAUCAGAUUUAAUCAGAUUGUUUUGUGUUCAGUCAAGAAAGCAUACCACCAGAAUUGACAGUGAUGAUAUAGUUUUUGACAUAAGACAUAAGUCUAAUGCAAUCAUUCUAAUGCAAUUUUAAUCAUUGGAUCUUCAUGUAGAGAGUAAUUUGUGAACAGAAAAGUAAACACCCCCAUUAUAUGUGAUGCCUUAAAUAUUGGGUUUAUUUAUAAAAGUGCUAUUUUUUUAAAGGUAUUUGAGGUUAUGACAAGAUGAGAUUUGCAUAACUGUAGUCAGUAAGAAAUGACUGGUUGA